GGAAAGGCGCGCGAUACAGGGUGACAGCCCCGUACACAAAAAUGCACAUGCUGUGAGCUCGAUGAGUAGGGCGGGACACGUGGUAUCCUGUCUGAAUAUGGGGGGACCAUCCUCCAAGGCUAAAUACUCCUGACUGACCGAUAGUGAACCAGUACCGUGAGGGAAAGGCGAAAAGAACCCCGGCGAGGGGAGUGAAAAAGAACCUGAAACCGUGUACGUACAAGCAGUGGGAGCACGCUUAGGCGUGUGACUGCGUACCUUUUGUAUAAUGGGUCAGCGACUUAUAUUCUGUAGCAAGGUUAACCGAAUAGGGGAGCCGAAGGGAAACCGAGUCUUAACUGGGCGUUAAGUUGCAGGGUAUAGACCCGAAACCCGGUGAUCUAGCCAUGGGCAGGUUGAAGGUUGGGUAACACUAACUGGAGGACCGAACCGACUAAUGUUGAAAAAUUAGCGGAUGACUUGUGGCUGGGGGUGAAAGGCCAAUCAAACCGGGAGAUAGCUGGUUCUCCCCGAAAGCUAUUUAGGUAGCGCCUCGUGAAUUCAUCUCCGGGGGUAGAGCACUGUUUCGGCAAGGGGGUCAUCCCGACUUACCAACCCGAUGCAAACUGCGAAUACCGGAGAAUGUUAUCACGGGAGACACACGGCGGGUGCUAACGUCCGUCGUGAAGAGGGAAACAACCCAGACCGCCAGCUAAGGUCCCAAAGUCAUGGUUAAGUGGGAAACGAUGUGGGAAGGCCCAGACAGCCAGGAUGUUGGCUUAGAAGCAGCCAUCAUUUAAAGAAAGCGUAAUAGCUCACUGGUCGAGUCGGCCUGCGCGGAAGAUGUAACGGGGCUAAACCAUGCACCGAAGCUGCGGCAGCGACACUAU
RNAcentral lists this ribosomal RNA (869 nucleotides) under Escherichia coli. RNAcentral's name for it is "partial 23S ribosomal RNA". It matches the Rfam family "Bacterial large subunit ribosomal RNA", at positions 344 to 1217 of the family's 2925-position model. Lineage: Bacteria; Pseudomonadati; Pseudomonadota; Gammaproteobacteria; Enterobacterales; Enterobacteriaceae. The record is from RNAcentral.